AAGGAACAGAAAAAUGGUUACUACCACUCCAACGCGUUUUAAGGUGAAAGUGAACACACAUAAAGGAAGUUCUUAUUGGACACUUAGCGGUUCCACAACCAUUUUUGAAGAUGCGGUUGUAUUUACUAUGGAAUCUAUGCCUGACUUCUUUAGGCAAUCACUUAAUCAGGAUUCUAUUGAGUUACUGCCUGUUGAGUAGAUUUCUAUAAUCAUGAAU
RNAcentral lists this unclassified non-coding RNA (217 nucleotides) under Aliivibrio wodanis. RNAcentral's name for it is "putative sRNA". The record is from RNAcentral. Lineage: Bacteria; Pseudomonadati; Pseudomonadota; Gammaproteobacteria; Vibrionales; Vibrionaceae.